RNAcentral lists this ribosomal RNA (247 nucleotides) under Umbilicaria dendrophora. RNAcentral describes it as "partial 18S ribosomal RNA". Lineage: Eukaryota; Fungi; Ascomycota; Lecanoromycetes; Umbilicariales; Umbilicariaceae. The record is from RNAcentral.
UUUCAGUCUAUCUCGUAUAGGCAACAUCGACAUGGUGCUGGGAUUUCGCCCUCCUGGUGAAUACCAGCAGCUGCUCACGCGGCUCACAGAUCAAACGUCGAUGGCCCGGUGAGGCCGUGAUUCUCUCCUGUAACCGUACUUGAAAGUGUCCACCUCAGUUGCCCCCGGGCUCAGAUAUGACCGGCCUUGUUACGAAAGUGACGAGAACUGCCGCGUUCCGUAGGUGAACCUGCGGAAGGAUCAUUAC